This 234-nucleotide ribosomal RNA is filed under the name uncultured Lactobacillus sp. RNAcentral's name for it is "partial 16S ribosomal RNA". It matches the Rfam family "Bacterial small subunit ribosomal RNA", at positions 128 to 355 of the family's 1533-position model. The record is from RNAcentral. Lineage: Bacteria; Bacillati; Bacillota; Bacilli; Lactobacillales; Lactobacillaceae.
GCCCAAGAGAUCGGGAUAACACCUGGAAACAGAUGCUAAUACCGGAUAACAACAGAUGAUGCCUAUCAACUGUUUAAAAGAUGGUUCUGCUAUCACUCUUGGAUGGACCUGCGGUGCAUUAGCUAGUUGGUAGGGUAACGGCCUACCAAGGCGAUGAUGCAUAGCCGAGUUGAGAGACUGAUCGGCCACAUUGGGACUGAGACACGGCCCAGACUCCUACGGGAGGCAGCAGCC